GUUUCUAGUAGGACCGGUCAAAGUGGGAGCUACAUCCGGUCGACGAAGGCGGGCAUAUCCGGUUAGACGCUAAUGAGUGGAGAAGGCAAAUACGAAUAGAUACGUUCCUAUUUGAGGUGACGAAAGCAGCAUCAGCAGCAGCAGUGAUGACAGUGGCAGCACUGAUGGAGACUCUGAUGCGGUCCCUAGCACCAGUUCUGCAGCUACUGCUGCGAGAGCAGCUGCUACCACAGCAGCUGCUACAAAACAAAAAAGACAGAGGGUAGAGUGGAAGACAGCAAGAAGACAGAAAGAAGUCCCAGUUUGGCAAGACGCUCUUCCUGAGGCCGAUGCAGUCAGACUGCCCAUCCAAUACUUCAGAGACUUUUUUGAAAUGAAUACUAUUUAUAUUUAAAUUAUUUGUUGGCAUCAAUAAAAUGAAUUACAUGCCUGAUA
Molecule: long non-coding RNA, 435 nt
Organism: Notothenia coriiceps (black rockcod)
Lineage: Eukaryota; Metazoa; Chordata; Actinopteri; Perciformes; Nototheniidae
Exons: 2
Source: RefSeq, a predicted model, not a curated record